AGCUGUAAACAAAACACGCAUAACCCCUUGAUGACUGUCAGACGCUGUAUGAUCGGUUAGUUUACUGUCGGCCAUUUUGCUUCUGUCAGUCAUCAAAGGGU
This is a long non-coding RNA of Stegastes partitus (bicolor damselfish), 101 nucleotides long. RefSeq lists it as uncharacterized. NCBI's taxonomy places the organism in Eukaryota, Metazoa, Chordata, Actinopteri, Pomacentridae. The transcript has 3 exons. The record is from RefSeq and is a predicted model, not a curated record.